RNAcentral lists this ribosomal RNA (491 nucleotides) under uncultured bacterium. Its description in RNAcentral is "partial 16S ribosomal RNA". It matches the Rfam family "Bacterial small subunit ribosomal RNA", at positions 29 to 507 of the family's 1533-position model. The record is from RNAcentral.
GUGAACGCUGGCGGUAGGCCUAACACAUGCAGGUCGAACGGCAGCACAGUAAGAGCUUGCUCUUACGGGUGGCGAGUGGCGGACGGGUGAGGAAUACAUCGGAAUCUACUUUUUCGUGGGGGAUAACGUAAGGAAACUUACGCUAAUACCGCAUACGACCUACGGGUGAAAGCAGGGGAUCUUCGGACCUUGCGCGAUUGAAUGAGCCGAUGUCGGAUUAGCUAGUUGGCGGGGUAAAGGCCCACCAAGGCGACGAUCCGUAGCUGGUCUGAGAGGAUGAUCAGCCACACUGGAACUGAGACACGGUCCAGACUCCUACGGGAGGCAGCAGUGGGGAAUAUUGGACAAUGGUCGCAAGCCUGAUCCAGCCAUACCGCGUGGGUGAAGCAGGCCUUCGGGUUGUAAAGCCCUUUUGUUGGGAAAGAAAAGCAGCAGGUUAAUACCCCGCUGUUCUGACGGUACCCAAAGAAUAAGCACCGGCUAACUUCGUG